This 241-nucleotide ribosomal RNA is filed under the name uncultured bacterium. RNAcentral's name for it is "partial 16S ribosomal RNA". It matches the Rfam family "Bacterial small subunit ribosomal RNA", at positions 92 to 334 of the family's 1533-position model. The record is from RNAcentral.
CGACCGGCGCACGGGUGCGUAACGCGUAUGCAACCUACCUUUAACAGGGGGAUAACACUGAGAAAUUGGUACUAAUACCCCAUAAUAUCAUAGAAGGCAUCUUUUAUGGUUGAAAAUUCCGAUGGUUAGAGAUGGGCAUGCGUUGUAUUAGCUAGUUGGUGGGGUAACGGCCCACCAAGGCGACGAUCGGUAGCCGGACUGGGAGGUUGAACGGCCACAUUGGGACUGAGACACGGCCCAG